GAAGUCUUACAAAAUAAGAGAUAAAUAUCGCAGGAUCUAAAAUCUAUCCUUAGCGCCAGAAAGCUGACUGGGAGACGCCACCUAGAUCAAAUCGAAAGCCUCAGAGUUAGGCGGCUCCUCUUCUACACCUGUUCUUCUCCUGUGGGGGGUGUGAGACAGCAAGAGUGAGCUCACACAUGUUCAUCGCUCAACAAGUUGUGGGGAAUAAUGUGGCAUGAACUCACCAAAGGUGGGAGUUCAUGAAGUGUAAGGCUGAUCAAUAAAAUAAAGGCUGGAGCUGAGCAUUGCUUUUAUAAGUUGGUCAAAAUUUUAUUAGCAAUUACUAAGUGUAAAUAAAUACCAAACCAUAGUAAAUAUAAAUAAAAGUAAUAAUAAAAUAAUCCCACAUGCAAUGAAAUGACAAAUUAAGUUUAAGUUCCAUAAAUUAAUCAUGUGAGUGUCCGAGCCGCUCAUGACCGUGAGCACGGCUAGUAUACCAGUUUUACACUCUGCAGAGGUUGCACAUCUUUACCCACAAGUCGUGUUACCCAUUUGCCACGGAGCUGAUCAGACUAUACACCUCUACCUACGAAGCGAGGCAGGGUACCACUACGAGGCCUUUACAAAGUUCCACUAGCUUCAGAAAACCCGCUACAGUUUAUAGGAAGCUCCAGUGCAGGAAUCCCUCGCCUGACCGCCAUCGCAGCAAAAUCAACCCGAGGACCUCCCUACACUGACCACUCCCCUACUGCCCUUGCCCCUUUCGGGUAAGGUAGUCAUCCACUAGCUAUCCUAGUUAAUCAGCCAAGGGCGUCCCAUUAUACCCUUGUGGUAGCACUGUUUUCCCGGGUGGUUCUCCAUGUUCCCAUUAUCAUAAUGAUCUUAUAAUGAACAGUAAUAAUAAACAGAUAAUAAAAGGUAUAACAAUGAGUUAUGAAUAUCUUUAUACCCAAAGCCACAUAAAUCAAUAGCAUGUACUACCCAAAAAAUUAGUAGUAAACCCAGUGGUGAAACAAGGUAUAAAGAUAGUCAAAAUCUAGGGUAACCUAUUGCGUCCCAUCAAAAUUAACCUAUGCAGAUCAUUAUGAUUAAUAAGAAUAUGGAUGGGUAAAAGAAGUGAUCAAGGGCACAACUUGCCUUCAACGAGCUCCUGCUCAGCAGUCUAUACCAGCUGAACCUCAGGAUCUUCAGUAGCUUGCUCGUCUACUCGCAUCAAAACAAUACAUACAUAGUAUAGCAAAAAUUAACAUCACACCAAACAUGUAAAUAAAAUAUAUAGUAAUAAUCUAGACAUUAAGAUAAGAUCAUAGGAACUGGAAUUAUUAAUUUUGGAGUUAUGGAUUUUAAGUUAUAAAUUUCCAAAGGUUUUAUGUGCUUGAAAUAGAAUUAAGUGAGAAAUUAUUUUUCUUACUGUUUUAAUGUCAAAACAGAGACUCUAAGUGGUAAAGAAUAAUAUUACAAAAUUUUAGAAACUGGAAUGGGGUAAUUUGGAGCUUAUAUGAAUUUCCUAUGAUUUAUUAAAGUUCUAGCACUUAUUUAUAUACCAAAAAUCCCUUUAUAAAUUAAUUUCUCUGAUUUUUCUUCUCUCUGGUCUGGGCGCAACAAUACUGAGAAAGGCAGGGACCUCGGGGUAAAUUAUCCAAGACACAGGGCACAAUACACUGGACGGCGGGUUUAUUUUUAAUAACGAUGGAGGCUCAUAUGCAAAUGCGUGACCGCGAAGGGGUAUGCACGGUUUCUGGCCGCCAGAUCGCGAAUCAAGGGCCACGAUUAGAUCUAGGUUAUCAUCAACCAGUACACGAUGACCGCCCACGGAUUGAGGAUCUACGGCCCGGAUCUACUCACCCCAUCUUCCUCUCUACACCGUUCAUCACAAAUGGAUGCCUCAGAUUUAAUCACGCGAAACGAUAUGAUUUGGUCUAAUCUAGACCGUCGAUGGCCAUCUAACGGCUGAGCGUCGUCUCCUACAUCGCCCAUCACCCGACCGAACACCCAGCUGCGGCGUCCACCAAACACGACCAAGCCAUAGCCGGCCGCACCUAGAGCUCGAGUCUCGCUUGUAAACUUCACUCCGACAACCGCGAAACGAAGAGCAGUGGAUCGCGAGACUGGUACAUGAGUUCUCACCACGGUUGGUAGCGCAGACAGCCCUGGCCACGGGAACCUGCGGAUUCACCAACACCGGCAAUGUAUUUCACGAUCUCCGGUGAUCUUCCCCUUCAAUUGCGCCCACACCCGGCUUCAACACGACCAACACUUCCAAUUCAAUUGACCCUGACCACCCAGCAGACCUCGGACGACGAUGCAACACACGACGACAGGCCCGAAUCGCUCCCUCGCGGUGGUGUCUGGCGGCGGGAUGGUGGAGAGUUUGGCUCGGCG
This 2361-nucleotide long non-coding RNA is filed under the name Zea mays. RNAcentral describes it as "long non-coding RNA (ZMAY_LNC004126)". Lineage: Eukaryota; Viridiplantae; Streptophyta; Magnoliopsida; Poales; Poaceae. The record is from RNAcentral.